Long non-coding RNA from Myotis brandtii (Brandt's bat), 136 nucleotides. RefSeq lists it as uncharacterized. Lineage: Eukaryota; Metazoa; Chordata; Mammalia; Chiroptera; Vespertilionidae. The transcript has 3 exons. The record is from RefSeq and is a predicted model, not a curated record.
CAUUUUUCCACAGGCAGAGACUCUAGGCGCAAAUAAGCAAUAAAACCAGCCAUGGCUGAUGUCAGAACCAGCUGCAUGGAAUAAUGACCCCCAUGCCCUGGUGCCAGCCAAUCAAUCAGUGGAGACCACAGCCCUG